RNAcentral lists this ribosomal RNA (266 nucleotides) under uncultured organism. RNAcentral's name for it is "partial 16S ribosomal RNA". It matches the Rfam family "Bacterial small subunit ribosomal RNA", at positions 355 to 640 of the family's 1533-position model. The record is from RNAcentral.
UUAGGAAUCUUCCACAAUGGGCGAAAGCCUGAUGGAGCGACGCCGCGUGAAGGACGAAGGCCCUAGGGUCGUAAACUUCUAAAAGAGGGACGAUAAUGACGGUACCUCUUGAAAAGCACCGGCUAACUCCGUGCCAGCAGCCGCGGUAAUACGGAGGGUGCUAGCGUUAUCCGGAAUCACUGGGCGUAAAGGGCGCGUAGGCGGUCUGUUAAGUCCGAUGUUAAAGACUGGGGCUCAACCCCGGCAUUGCGUUGGAUACUGGCAGG